UAAUACAACUUUCAACAAUGGAUCUCUUGGCUCUCGCAUCGAUGAAGAACGCAGCGAAACGCGAUAAGUAAUGUGAAUUGCAGAAUUCAGUGAAUCAUCGAAUCUUUGAACGCACCUUGCGCUCCUUGGUAUUCCGAGGAGCAUGCCUGUUUGAGUGUCA
Molecule: ribosomal RNA, 160 nt
Filed under: Hygrophorus hypothejus
Lineage: Eukaryota; Fungi; Basidiomycota; Agaricomycetes; Agaricales; Hygrophoraceae
Description: 5.8S ribosomal RNA
Rfam family: 5.8S ribosomal RNA
About the family: 5.8S ribosomal RNA (5.8S rRNA) is a component of the large subunit of the eukaryotic ribosome. It is transcribed by RNA polymerase I as part of the 45S precursor that also contains 18S and 28S rRNA.
Source: RNAcentral